UCUAGUUUAUACAUACAUGCACUUUACUAAAAGCAUAAACAAUGGCACUCAAACUUAAUGUUAUUUUAACUAAAAAGGCAGCAGAAGGUGAAGCAUGUGUAAACAUUACACUACAAAGUGAACAAUAUAACUCGAGUGAAAGGAUAACAGCAAACACUUUAAGACCAUACAUCAUUGAGAGCAACAUAUCAGAAGAUGAAUGCCCUAUGGACGAUCUUAUCAGUUGUGCUAGUAUGUACAUUAACUGGAUCUUCUAAAAGUUACUACAAUGGAUACAUGGAUUGUUCUACUUCUCAUGAUUUUGGUGAAAUAACAAAUGUAACAUCAAAUACACUUGGAAAAACAGUUAAGCCAGGACAAAACUACAUUAUCAGAGGAAUCAUAAAAUUAAGUAAUGAAGAUAAUCAAUUGCUCAAU
Long non-coding RNA from Amphimedon queenslandica, 417 nucleotides. RefSeq lists it as uncharacterized. The record is from RefSeq and is a predicted model, not a curated record. The transcript is spliced from 3 exons. Lineage: Eukaryota; Metazoa; Porifera; Demospongiae; Haplosclerida; Niphatidae.